This 212-nucleotide long non-coding RNA is filed under the name Elaeis guineensis (African oil palm). Its description in RNAcentral is "long non-coding RNA (EGUI_LNC044346)". The record is from RNAcentral. Lineage: Eukaryota; Viridiplantae; Streptophyta; Magnoliopsida; Arecales; Arecaceae.
AAUCACAUAGAUUAUCCCAAUCGAGAUUUUACUGAAUUGAAACACUGAUACAUUAACUCCUACAUAUUCGGAGGGGUCAAUUCCAUCUUAACUCAUACACUAACUUUUCAAGUACUUGACUGUGCCCAAAAGUCUAUCAUCACUGAAUUAAAAAUUCAGAUAGUUCGGUACCAAAGUACAGUGAGUUGCUUGCAAGUCACUGUGGUGAUCUC